Long non-coding RNA from Culex quinquefasciatus (southern house mosquito), 736 nucleotides. RefSeq lists it as uncharacterized. NCBI's taxonomy places the organism in Eukaryota, Metazoa, Arthropoda, Insecta, Diptera, Culicidae. The record is from RefSeq and is a predicted model, not a curated record. The transcript is spliced from 4 exons.
UCUGGUGGUGUUGGUGAUUCUAGGACGCAAAGCAAAGCCGACCGUGGCAGCAGCCAGGAAUCGGACGCGGAAACCUUCGUGAGCCAAACAGCAGCAGCGGAACGCUUUCGAAGGAGGGUGAUGCGGGUACGGGACGAGGUCAAGUGCUCAAAAAGGACAGGGCGAGCUUCCUGCAGGAACUUCAGCUGUUCCACGACCGGAAUGGAUAAACAUCUGGUUUUUGGUCAAGUACGAGACAGGUGAUAUUCACGGUGAGGAAAAGGAGCCGACGAGAAGCGGGAUAAUCGGAGGUGGCCAGAGCGGCUGUUGCACUCGGUGCCGGCGAUUUACAACACCGCAACUAACCGCCCACAAAUGCUCAUCUCGCGACGGCGCAGCUCAAGCCGAAUGAAUCUGGACAGCGUGCCGAAAAAAUCUGUGUCAUUCUCGAAGGAGGAUGAAGUACUCGAAAUCGAAUUCUGUUCCGAGGGCCUCAUCAACCCAAUGUUCCGGAUGCGCUUCCAGUAUCGGGAACUCCCCGUUCAGGCACUUCACUUUCCAGCCGGGAAACGUCGAUCAACCUUGCCGAAUCUACAGUCAACUUCUCCAAACCUGUCCUGAAGGCCGGCAACGUGACCAUCCUGUUCUCUACUUUGCUGUCGCGCGUCGAAACGUCCAUCCGGAACCGUUCAGAUUGGGGUCUUCGGAAGUGACCGGGAAAACUGUUGAUUCCGGAGACAUCGGAUGUUUUGUCGAU